CCAAAAACAUCUCUCUUUGUUAAUAAUAAAUAAGGAGUUGGGCCUGCUCGGUGAAUAUUUUUUAACAGCUGCGGUAUUUUAACUGUACUAAGGUAGCAUAAUAAUUUGCCUUAUAAUUUGAGGCUAGAAUGAAUGGUUUGACGAAGGUUAAUCUGUCUCCGUUUUAUUUUUUAGAAAUUAAUUUUCAUAGUGAAAAAGCUUGAAUUUUUUAAAGGGACGAGAAGACCCUAUUGAGCUUAUAAUUUUAUUACUAUUAUGUUUGUUAAAUUCAUCAUUGUAGUAUAUAAAUUUUAAUUGGGGUGAUUAAGGAAUAAGUUUUUUAUAAUAUAACUUCCUUAGAUUAAUAUAUUGUUAGAUUAAGUAACCGAUGUGAUUAACAUAAUGUAUGUUAUGUAUUGCUUAUAAUAUAGUUACCAUAGGGAUAACAGCGUAAUUUACUUAGAGAGUUCUUAUUGAAAAUUAAGAUUGCUGACCUCGAUGUUGGAUUAAAGUAAC
This 495-nucleotide ribosomal RNA is filed under the name Uroteuthis duvaucelii. Its description in RNAcentral is "partial large subunit ribosomal RNA". The stretch from base 1 to 161 matches the Rfam family "Bacterial large subunit ribosomal RNA", at positions 1807 to 2024 of the family's 2925-position model. Lineage: Eukaryota; Metazoa; Mollusca; Cephalopoda; Myopsida; Loliginidae. The record is from RNAcentral.